RNA transcript from Empidonax traillii (willow flycatcher), 2017 nucleotides. It is a transcript of the gene named eukaryotic translation initiation factor 5 pseudogene, with no coding region annotated. The record is from RefSeq and is a predicted model, not a curated record. Lineage: Eukaryota; Metazoa; Chordata; Aves; Passeriformes; Tyrannidae. The transcript has a single exon.
GAGAACAUUCUAGAGAUUGCCUGGUGCCACUCUCCCUGCUGAUACCGCCAGCCCCAGGAUGCCGGGACCUGGAGGUUGCAGCAUCCGCCUCCACCUCCCUCUCGGCCUGGAUAUAAGCGCCCCUUCGGUCCUGUUUUCCUUGCACAGUUGGCUUCGUCGCAGCCCGGGGCGAGCAGCGUUGGGUUUAUGUCUUUAUUGGACAAAAACGAGCUGUUGCGCAGCCACUGGUACCUGUAUUGGGGAAACAUAGCAUACAAGCAAGAACCUUACAGCCUCAGUGGUGAAAAUUUUUUCAUGUCAGAGACCGAGAACUCUUGCAGUUGUUUAUGUCACCCCGUCUUCUCCAGACAGAAGAUACCAAAAAACUGCAAUCAAAGAUCUCUUCAUCUUAUUGAUAAAGCUACUAAUAAGGCAAAAUGUCUGUCAACUUCAACCACAGUGUUUCAGAUCAGUUCUAUCACUACAAAAUGCCCUGUCUGAUUGCCAAGGUGGAGGGCAAAGGAAAUGGAAUAAAGACGGUUAUAGUCAACAUGGUUGAUGUUGCAAAGGCGCUUAAUCGGCCUCCAACGUAUCCUACCAAAUUUUUUGGUUGUGAGCUGGGAGCACAGACCCAGUUUGAUGUUAAGAAUGACUGUUACAUUGUAAAUGGAUCUCAUGAGGCGAAUAAGCUGCCAGACAUGUUGGAUGGAUUCAUUAAAAAAUUUGUUCUCUGUCCUGAGUGUGAGAAUCCUGAAACUGAUCUGCAUGUCAAUCCUAAGAAACAAACUAUAGGUAACCCUUGCAAAGCCUGUGGCUAUCGAGGCAUGCUUGACACAAACCAUAAACUCUGCACAUUCGUUCUCAAAAACCCACCUGAAAGUGGUGACACUGGUACAGGAAAGAAAGAAAAGGAGAGGAAGAACAGAAAAGGCAAGGACAAAGAGAAUGGUUCUGUGUCCAGCAAUGAGACACUUCCGCCCCCUCCACCAGAGGAGAUUACUCCUCCACAGGUUGUGGAGGAGGAGGAUGAUGAUGACUGGGGUGAGGACACAACAGAAGAAGCCCAGAGGCAUAGAAUGGAUGAAAUCAGUGACCAUGCAAAGAACCUCAAGCUUAGUGAAGACUUGGAAAGAAUCGUGGAGGAGAGAGUCAACAUAUUGUUUGAUUUUGUGAAGAAAAAGAAGGAAGAAGAUGUCAUUGAUACUUUGGACAAAGACGUAGCAGAAGCAGAGAGACUGGAUGUAAAGGCUAUGGGCUCACUAGUUCUCACUGAAGUGCUUUUUGAUGAAAAGAUUCGUGAACAAAUAAGAAAAUACAGACAUCACUUCCUUCAUUUCUGCCACAACAACAAGAAAGCUCAGAGGUACCUUCUCCAUGGCUUUGAGUGUGUAGUAGCCAUGCAUCAGUCUCAGCUUAUUUCGAAAAUACCACAUAUUUUGAAGGAAAUGUAUGAUGCAGAUCUUCUGGAAGAAGAAGUCAUCCUUAGCUGGGCAGAAAAGGCCUCAAAGAAAUACGUUUCAAAGGAGCUUGCCAAAGAAAUCCGUGUCAAAGCAGAACCAUUUAUUAAAUGGCUAAAGGAAGCUGAAGAAGAAUCUUCCGGUAAUGAAGAAGAGGAUGAAGAUGAAAACAUAGAUGUGGUGUACUCUACAACUGCCAGUGAACCUAAAGUUGAAACUGUGAAGCCUGCAAACAAUAAAGUCGACGAUAUUGAUUUUGAUGUUGUAUCACAUUUAAAGUGAUACAACACAGCUUCCAGCAUAGUAAUGCAAACUUCUCUGCAUUUUCUGCCAGAAGUGUGAUUUGUAUGUGCACAAGCUGAAAUGGCUUAACAUCCUGCUACUCUUUGUACUCUAAAAUGUAUCUUUUUACUGUGACUGGUCUUGUGUAACUAAACCUAAUACCAAGGAGUCAGCAGGUCAGUGAACUGAUCUAGUUUGCAACUGGCCUGUUCUAUUUUGUUUUUCUAACUUGCGUUGGACACAUACUUGGAGCACAUUUAUACAGUUGUGGAAAUAAAGGAUUUGGUUUUGGUCAAUCU